This is a long non-coding RNA of Macaca mulatta (Rhesus monkey), 1708 nucleotides long. RefSeq lists it as uncharacterized. Lineage: Eukaryota; Metazoa; Chordata; Mammalia; Primates; Cercopithecidae. The record is from RefSeq and is a predicted model, not a curated record.
CCCUUCCCCCCACUCCUCCGCCCAUCACACACACACAGUCCAGCCUCCCACCGGACCCCUGACCUCAGUACCCCCUGCCGCGCAAGGAGGAAUAAGUCAGGAGGAAUGGAAUUGCUGGAUCUUACGAAGGCAUUUGCUCAGCUUUGGUAGACAUGGCCAAGAGGUUUCCAAAGGGCUGCACCCGCUUACCACUUACCAACAAUAUCUUAGAAUCCAGUGGCUCCAAGACCAAGUAUUGAUUGAGGACCUACUGUGUAGCUGGGAAAGAGCAGGGCGCAGGACACACUGAGCCCCUACCCUCAGGAGUUCCAACAGGAGACAGACUAUACACACCUCAGCAAACACCCGGACAAACUACUGCCUAGUGGAGAUUCCACUCAUGGGCCCAGAACAUUUUAUGCUGAAACUGCCUCAUACCUGUUCACAAGUGAUUUGAGUCCAUCUCCUCCAAACAAACAUUAAAAUCAGCCAAGUUUCGAUGACAGUGGUUCUCAAACUCCAGUGUGCCCUAGAAUCAACUGGAUGGCUUAUUAACACAGAUUGCUGGGCCUCAUCCUCAGAGAUACUGAUUCUGUAGGCAGUUCUUCGGUGGGGUCUAAGCGUCUGCAUUUUUAACAGACUCUCAGGUGAUAUGAUGCUCCUGGUCUGGGGACCACAUUUUGGGAACCAACAAUCUACAGAAUUACUUCCUAUAACUGGCAUGAUUAUUAAGUGAUGAUGAAUCUUUGUGACAAUGCAAAAGAAGUUGAUCACUUAAUCUCAGUAAUAUUUCAACAUGUGUGCUCUAGUUCUCCUCCACAUGGUGAUAGAAGACUCUUCCAGGUUGUGGCUUACCAGUUCCCACCCAGGGCCUCAGAAUCUUCUACCUCUAGUUAGAAAACAAGGCAAAAUGAGAUCAGAAAGACAAAGCCCUCGAACAAAGAGAAGCAACAGUUUUUGUUACAUUUUGUCUUCUGUAUGUCUCCUUCUUAAAGAAUUUAGCUCCAAAUUAUACUCGGGAAGAGAAAAAAAUCAAAAGUUCCAGUAGGCCGCGAGGCCUAUGAUCCACCGUGUUGAAGGAAGAUUUGCUUCACCUCACCCCGCGGUAAUACUAAGUUGUUCACACGCUGUGAAGAAGACCGGAACACUAGGCUGUCAACUGUUGGGGCCUACCUGCGCCAGACUUCUUCCUCAGUGGCCAGCUUUUUCCCCCACAGUUAGCCACCAGGGGGCCGCCUGCUUGGAACAAGUGGUGUAGACGCCACAGCUUUUCUCCAAACCAACCAAAACAUUCCGGGGCAGCUUUGGAGCAAAGCCCAGGAACUUCCCUGCAAAGGAGAACAGCUCUCCAACUACAGAAGCCUGCAAGUCCUAUGGUGCACCCUUAUUAAGAGUAGAGAAGAAAGCACGGAUUUCUCACCGAGGACCAAAGGGAAAUGGCGUCUCUGGGGCCUCAACUUUCUUAAAAGUUCAUCAGCGAAACUCUGCUCAUCCAGGGGGGUGGUUGAUAAUGCUGUUGGCAGGGGUCCGGGGCCUCUCCCCCCUUUCCCUGGCACGCUCAGAAGCGAGAAUAAAACAUACAUGUCACUGGCUGAAAAUCUAGAGAACCCUCCAAUAAAUAACCUAUACAUUGUCAGGCCGCUGAGGAUCCAUAUCGUCAUAACUCUAUAACACUGCGUGUUACACGAAUAGAUGUGAAUAUUAAAUUAUGAUGUCGGAAUUAUUUUAA